This is a long non-coding RNA of Bombina bombina (fire-bellied toad), 1351 nucleotides long. RefSeq lists it as uncharacterized. The record is from RefSeq and is a predicted model, not a curated record. The transcript is spliced from 2 exons. NCBI's taxonomy places the organism in Eukaryota, Metazoa, Chordata, Amphibia, Anura, Bombinatoridae.
UUUAUAGUAACAUUGUUUUAUACACAGACAGUCUCAGGACAACUGCAGCAUUGAGAUAGGUGACAUGUGAGACUUAUUGUAACAUUGUUACACAGACAGUCUCAGGACAACUGCAGUAUUGAGAUAGGUGACAUGUGAGACUUAUUGUAACAUUGUUACACAGACAGUCUCAGGACAACUGCAGUAUUGAGAUAGGUGACAUGUGAGACUUAUUGUAACAUUGUUACACAGACAGUCUCAGGACAACUGCAGUAUUGAGAUAGGUGACAUGUGAGACUUAUUGUAACAUUGUUACACAGACAGUCUCAGGACAACUGCAGUAUUGAGAUAGGUGACAUGUGAAACUUAUUGUAACAUUGUUGCACAGACCGUCUCAGGACAACUGCAGCAUUGAGAGAGGUGACAUGUGAAACUUAUUGUAACAUUGUUACACAGACAGUCUCAGGAUAACUGCAGUAUUGAGAUAGGUGACAUGUGAGACUUAUUGUAACAUUGUUGCACAGACCGUCUCAGGACAACUGCAGCAUUGAGAGAGGUGACAUGUGAAACUUAUUGUAACAUUGUUACACAGACAGUCUCAGGACAACUGCAGUAUUGAGAUAGGUGACGUGAGAUUUAUUGUAACAUUGUUGUAUACACAGACAGUCUCAGGACAACUGCUGUAUUGAGAGAGGUGACGUGUGAGAUUUAUUGUAACAUUAUUGUAUACACAGACAGUCUCAGGAUAACUGCAGUAUUGAGAGAGGUGACAUGUGGGACUUACUGUGGUAUUGUUGUAUACACAAUCUCAUGAUAACUAUAUUAUGCUGCAGGUAAAUGACAGGAAUAAUAGGCACAAUGAAUAAUGACUGUACAUAAUUAUGCUUUAACAAUGCUUAACUAAAUAUUGUAUAUGGUGUUUACUGUUCCUUGAAUGUGUCACUUUCACUCCAAUGACUACAAUACAAAGUUUUAUGUUUUUGUUUUUAGAGUACAUUUUUAUGUUUUUACACAAUUUUAAUAGAUAAAUUAUUUCUACAGACUCCUACUGAACCCUGCUCCAAAGUCGUUAAAAAUAAAUGAUAGAGUUAAUAAUAAAAUUGAACAACAACUAAGCUAUGCACGUUUUGUUUUAGAAAGACAGCGUUGUGUCAGUGCGCUGGGAGUGAGACGUUAAUGUCGCACUUAUAUAUUAUUAUUAUCUGUUAUUUUAGAGCGCCAACAGACUCUGCAGCGCUAAUCCCUUUAUUAGUGUUAUCAUUUUAUAGAUACAUUAAACACUUUAGUUUUCAUAUAUAACAUGUUUAAUUUUGUGCAGUAAAAGAACUGUCUUGUUGUCGUGAAUAAAAUAAAAUGUUUUUCUUUAUACUAA